RNAcentral lists this long non-coding RNA (211 nucleotides) under Drosophila guanche. The record is from RNAcentral. Lineage: Eukaryota; Metazoa; Arthropoda; Insecta; Diptera; Drosophilidae.
GUCACUUUUUCAUUUUUUUCUUGGCGUACCUUAUCCAGGGGUUGGUUUUUAAGUUUUCGUCUUUGCAGCCACAACACUUUUAUAUUGGUUUUUAUUUGAAUUAUGUUCCCUUUUAUGGUUUUGCAAAAUUUUCACCACGUUUUUUUUUGUUUUUGUAUAUUUUCUACACGCACAUCAAUUAAGUCUUCCAACCUUGAAUGCAAUUUUUGUU